AUGCAGAGAGUUUAUCAGAUGCAUCAGUCAGAUAUUUCAGUUCAGCAUCGUCUUCUCAGACUAACUCAACUGACGAAAAUGGGUUUUCAUUCGAUAUAUUUAGAAGCCACAACUGACUUUGAAAGCAUGGCCUUUCCAGGUUUAAGGGGCAUGGCAUGUUGGCACCAUUCACAGCUGGAUGUCAGAGCAAUGAUGUGCAUCUGCUGGUUAUUGGGAGAUCUGAGGUUGCGGCUCUCCAGUUAUAGCAUUAUAUAUGUUUACUUCUCUUGCAAUGUAGCAUUCCAUUUUGGAAUGGAAGCUAAUUUAUUUAUGAUAUGCUUGUGA
RNAcentral lists this ribosomal RNA (324 nucleotides) under Triticum aestivum (bread wheat). Its description in RNAcentral is "partial small subunit ribosomal RNA". The record is from RNAcentral. Lineage: Eukaryota; Viridiplantae; Streptophyta; Magnoliopsida; Poales; Poaceae.